CUCCUAUCCCCAGCACCCAGGGAACUGUGGCCUCCUCACCAGGGAAGGGAGGUGGCCCUCAGACCCCCCGGGAUCCUACGGGCAGUUCCCUGGGCUGGAUCUGCGGUGCCCAGAGCCAAGACCCUCCCCGAGUCCACCGCCAUUUCCCGUCCAAGAGAACACCAGGGGGGUCCCCAGAUGGCUGCCCGGGAGGAGCCCUGCUGUGCGGGCAGCCACGGAUGAUGGGUGACGUUGGACACCUUGACAUCCAGCCGGGGACCCUGCUGGCUGAGCUCUGGCCGCCUGGCACCCUGGCCUCGCCAGCCUUCAGCAAGCCCCCCCAGGGAGGAAAGAAGGGCAGAGGCAUCUGGAGGACUCCCCACGGUCUCCCUGCCACAGCUGGACGGGGUGCCCCC
Bos taurus (domestic cattle) is the source of this 395-nucleotide long non-coding RNA. NCBI's taxonomy places the organism in Eukaryota, Metazoa, Chordata, Mammalia, Artiodactyla, Bovidae. The record is from Ensembl.